UGAUCCAGCCAUGCCGCGUGGAGGAAGAAGGCCCUCUGGGUCGUAAACUCCUUUUAUCCAGGGCUAAAAUGGGGCUAUACGCCGUAUUGAAGGUACUGGGGGAAUAAGCCACGGCUAACUACGUGCCAGCAGCCGCGGUAAUACGUAGGUGGCGAGCGUUGUCCGGAUUUAUUGGGUUUAAAGGGUGCGUAGGCGGCUUGUUAAGUCAGUGGUUAAAUCGUGUGGCUCAACCAUACUUCGCCAUUGAUACUGACAGGCUAGAAUAUGUCCGAGGAUGCUGGAAUGAGUGGUGUAGCGGUGAAAUGCAUAGAUAUCACUCAGAACACCGAUUGCGAAGGCAGGCAUCUGGGGCGUGAUUGACGCUGAGGCACGAAAGUGUGGGGAGCAAACAGGAUUAGAUACCCUGGUAGUCCACACUGUAAACGUUGGUCACUAGAUGUUCGGCCGCAAGGCUGAGUGUCCAAGGGAAACCGAUAAGUGACCCACCUGGGGAGUACGUUCGCAAGAAUGAAACUC
This 516-nucleotide ribosomal RNA is filed under the name uncultured bacterium. RNAcentral's name for it is "bacterial SSU rRNA". It matches the Rfam family "Bacterial small subunit ribosomal RNA", at positions 384 to 902 of the family's 1533-position model. The record is from RNAcentral.